Long non-coding RNA from Telopea speciosissima, 244 nucleotides. RefSeq lists it as uncharacterized. The transcript is spliced from 3 exons. The record is from RefSeq and is a predicted model, not a curated record. Lineage: Eukaryota; Viridiplantae; Streptophyta; Magnoliopsida; Proteales; Proteaceae.
GGACAAGACAGAAUAUGAUAUUCUUCUGUUCUUCAAGCUAUAUGACCCAGAGAAAAUCGAGUUCCAGUAUGUUGGAAGGCUUUUUGUUAAGGGCAUCGGUAAGCCUGUGGAUAUCCUAACAAAACUAAAUGAAAUGGCUGGCUUUGGCCCUAAUGAAUAAAUUAAACUUUAUAAGGAAAUUACAUUUGAACCUAUUGUCAAGUGUGAACACAUUGACAAGAAACUCACUUUUCCAUCUAGUCAG